This 497-nucleotide ribosomal RNA is filed under the name uncultured bacterium. Its description in RNAcentral is "partial 16S ribosomal RNA". It matches the Rfam family "Bacterial small subunit ribosomal RNA", at positions 28 to 507 of the family's 1533-position model. The record is from RNAcentral.
GACGAACGCUGGCGGCGUGCCUAAUACAUGCAAGUUGAGCGCUGAAGGUUGGUACUUGUACCAACUGGAUGAGCAGCGAACGGGUGAGUAACGCGUGGGGAAUCUGCCUUUGAGCGGGGGACAACAUUUGGAAACGAAGGCUAAUACCGCAUAAAAACUUUAAACACAAGUUUUAAGUUUGAAAGAUGCAAUUGCAUCACUCAAAGAGGAUCCCGCGUUGUAUUAGCUAGUUGGUGAGGUAAAGGCUCACCAAGGCGAUGAUACAUAGCCGACCUGAGAGGGUGAUCGGCCACAUUGGGACUGAGACACGGCCCAAACUCCUACGGGAGGCAGCAGUAGGGAAUCUUCGGCAAUGGACGAAAGUCUGACCGAGCAACGCCGCGUGAGUGAAGAAGGUUUUCGGAUCGUAAAACUCUGUUGGUAGAGAAGAACGUUGGUGAGAGUGGAAAGCUCAUCAAGUGACGGUAACUACCCAGAAAGGGACGGCUAACUACGUG